This is a non-coding RNA of Candidatus Nomurabacteria bacterium GWB1_40_6, 71 nucleotides long. The record is from Rfam. NCBI's taxonomy places the organism in Bacteria, Candidatus Nomuraibacteriota.
UGGGGGAUCGUCUAAUGGUAGGACACGUCCCUUUGAAGGACGUUAUUUUGGUCCGAAUCCAAAUCCCCCAG